RNAcentral lists this ribosomal RNA (465 nucleotides) under uncultured bacterium. Its description in RNAcentral is "bacterial SSU rRNA". It matches the Rfam family "Bacterial small subunit ribosomal RNA", at positions 338 to 795 of the family's 1533-position model. The record is from RNAcentral.
CCUACGGGUCGCACCAGUGGGGAAUAUUGGACAAUGGGGGAAACCCUGAUGCAGCCAUGCCGCGUGUGUGAAGAAGGCCUUCGGGUUGUAAAGCACUUUCAGUAGGGAGGCAGGUAGUGUAGUUAACACCUGCACUAUUUGACGUUACCUACAGAAGAAGCACCGGCUAACUCCGUGCCAGCAGCCGCGGUAAUACGGAGGGUGCGAGCGUUAAUCGGAAUUACUGGGCGUAAAGCGCAUGCAGGCGGCCUGUUAAGUCAGAUGUGAAAGCCCGGGGCUUAACCUCGGAAUUGCAUUUGAAACUGGCAGGCUAGAGUCUUGUAGAGGGGGGUAGAAUUUCAGGUGUAGCGGUGAAAUGCGUAGAGAUCUGAAGGAAUACCAGUGGCGAAGGCGGCCCCCUGGACAAAGACUGACGCUCAGAUGCGAAAGCGUGGGGAGCAAACAGGAUUAGAUACCCCCGUAGUC